RNAcentral lists this ribosomal RNA (923 nucleotides) under Sphingobacterium multivorum. RNAcentral's name for it is "bacterial SSU rRNA". It matches the Rfam family "Bacterial small subunit ribosomal RNA", at positions 53 to 969 of the family's 1533-position model. The record is from RNAcentral. Lineage: Bacteria; Pseudomonadati; Bacteroidota; Sphingobacteriia; Sphingobacteriales; Sphingobacteriaceae.
ACAUGCAGUCGGACGGGAUCCAUCGGAGAGCUUGCUCGAAGAUGGUGAGAGUGGCGCACGGGUGCGUAACGCGUGAGCAACCUACCUCUAUCAGGGGGAUAGCCUCUCGAAAGAGAGAUUAACACCGCAUAACAUCAACAGUUCGCAUGUUCAGUUGAUUAAAUAUUUAUAGGAUAGAGAUGGGCUCGCGUGACAUUAGCUAGUUGGUAGGGUAACGGCUUACCAAGGCGACGAUGUCUAGGGGCUCUGAGAGGAGAAUCCCCCACACUGGUACUGAGACACGGACCAGACUCCUACGGGAGGCAGCAGUAAGGAAUAUUGGUCAAUGGGCGGAAGCCUGAACCAGCCAUGCCGCGUGCAGGAUGACUGCCCUAUGGGUUGUAAACUGCUUUUGUCCAGGAAUAAACCUAGAUACGUGUAUCUAGCUGAAUGUACUGGAAGAAUAAGGAUCGGCUAACUCCGUGCCAGCAGCCGCGGUAAUACGGAGGAUCCGAGCGUUAUCCGGAUUUAUUGGGUUUAAAGGGUGCGUAGGCGGCCUAUUAAGUCAGGGGUGAAAUACGGUGGCUCAACCAUCGCAGUGCCUUUGAUACUGAUGGGCUUGAAUCCAUUUGAAGUGGGCGGAAUAAGACAAGUAGCGGUGAAAUGCAUAGAUAUGUCUUAGAACUCCGAUUGCGAAGGCAGCUCACUAAGCUGGUAUUGACGCUGAUGCACGAAAGCGUGGGGAUCGAACAGGAUUAGAUACCCUGGUAGUCCACGCCCUAAACGAUGAUAACUCGAUGUUGGCGAUAGACAGCCAGCGUCCAAGCGAAAGCGUUAAGUUAUCCACCUGGGGAGUACGCCCGCAAGGGUGAAACUCAAAGGAAUUGACGGGGGCCCGCACAAGCGGAGGAGCAUGUGGUUUAAUUCGAUGAUACGCGAGGAAC